This 609-nucleotide ribosomal RNA is filed under the name Cuervea kappleriana. RNAcentral's name for it is "eukaryotic LSU rRNA". The stretch from base 230 to 385 matches the Rfam family "5.8S ribosomal RNA". Lineage: Eukaryota; Viridiplantae; Streptophyta; Magnoliopsida; Celastrales; Celastraceae. The record is from RNAcentral.
CAAAGACAGAACGACCCGUGAAUCGGUGAAAAACCAUAGGGGAGACGUGCCCUCGGGCUUUUCUCCCAGAGCCCUCGGCGAAGGUUGUGGCUGAAAUCCACAUCCUUGGCCGCGGGCAAAACUAACAAACCCCGGCGCGAGUCGCGCCAAGGAAAACGAAGGAAUGUGCGCUUCCCUGGUCCCGAAAACGGUGCGCUGGGGAAGACGUCGUCGUUAUCAUAUUUGAAACGACUCUCGGCAACGGAUAUCUCGGCUCUCGCAUCGAUGAAGAACGUAGCGAAAUGCGAUACUUGGUGUGAAUUGCAGAAUCCCGUGAACCAUCGAGUUUUUGAACGCAAGUUGCGCCCAAUGCCGUCAGGCUGAGGGCACGCCUGCCUGGGUGUCACGAAAAGUCGCCUAACAUCCCUCCCCCACCCGAGGGGGAGCGGCGAGGGAUGGCGGACAUUGGCCUCCCGUGCGCUCGAUAGUGCGUGCGGUUGGCCCAAAACUUAGGUCUGCCCCGCGAGGCGAUCACGACACACGGUGGUUGAAAGCGCACGCUCUCCUCGAACACCGUCGUGGGCCAGCCUCGAUUGUGGGAAACCCAAAGACCCCGACGCGGAGCGUCAU